Molecule: long non-coding RNA, 364 nt
Filed under: Musa acuminata (dwarf banana)
Lineage: Eukaryota; Viridiplantae; Streptophyta; Magnoliopsida; Zingiberales; Musaceae
Description: long non-coding RNA (MACU_LNC004292)
Source: RNAcentral
GUUUGUAAAGGGUCAGCCUCAUCGAAACCUCUUAUGAUCCCUUAAGGACUUACAAAAGAGAAGAUGAGUUAGAGGAACUGUUUAACUCGGGAUCCUUGAGGAAUUGUUUGCCUAAGUUGUGCAGCAUCUUUGCUUGUCCGUCUACAAAAGGUCAACCUCCUCGAAACCUUUUAUGAUCUCUUGAGGACUUGCAAAAGAGAAGACGGGUUAGAGGAAGUGUUUAACUCGGUAUCCCACAAGCAGAUAUUUUAGUAAAUACUUAAUAGGCAAUACAAAUUACAAACAUAGACUUCGCAAGCUUUGAAUAGUCGCACAAUAAAUGGUCUAAGGUAGUCCGUCGCGGCUAAAAGUUCCCACAAUUGCC